RNAcentral lists this ribosomal RNA (1175 nucleotides) under Shigella sonnei. RNAcentral's name for it is "partial 23S ribosomal RNA". It matches the Rfam family "Bacterial large subunit ribosomal RNA", at positions 574 to 1751 of the family's 2925-position model. Lineage: Bacteria; Pseudomonadati; Pseudomonadota; Gammaproteobacteria; Enterobacterales; Enterobacteriaceae. The record is from RNAcentral.
UGGGAGCACGCUUAGGCGUGUGACUGCGUACCUUUUGUAUAAUGGGUCAGCGACUUAUAUUCUGUAGCAAGGUUAACCGAAUAGGGGAGCCGAAGGGAAACCGAGUCUUAACUGGGCGUUAAGUUGCAGGGUAUAGACCCGAAACCCGGUGAUCUAGCCAUGGGCAGGUUGAAGGUUGGGUAACACUAACUGGAGGACCGAACCGACUAAUGUUGAAAAAUUAGCGGAUGACUUGUGGCUGGGGGUGAAAGGCCAAUCAAACCGGGAGAUAGCUGGUUCUCCCCGAAAGCUAUUUAGGUAGCGCCUCGUGAAUUCAUCUCCGGGGGUAGAGCACUGUUUCGGCAAGGGGGUCAUCCCGACUUACCAACCCGAUGCAAACUGCGAAUACCGGAGAAUGUUAUCACGGGAGACACACGGCGGGUGCUAACGUCCGUCGUGAAGAGGGAAACAACCCAGACCGCCAGCUAAGGUCCCAAAGUCAUGGUUAAGUGGGAAACGAUGUGGGAAGGCCCAGACAGCCAGGAUGUUGGCUUAGAAGCAGCCAUCAUUUAAAGAAAGCGUAAUAGCUCACUGGUCGAGUCGGCCUGCGCGGAAGAUGUAACGGGGCUAAACCAUGCACCGAAGCUGCGGCAGCGACGCUUAUGCGUUGUUGGGUAGGGGAGCGUUCUGUAAGCCUGCGAAGGUGUGCUGUGAGGCAUGCUGGAGGUAUCAGAAGUGCGAAUGCUGACAUAAGUAACGAUAAAGCGGGUGAAAAGCCCGCUCGCCGGAAGACCAAGGGUUCCUGUCCAACGUUAAUCGGGGCAGGGUGAGUCGACCCCUAAGGCGAGGCCGAAAGGCGUAGUCGAUGGGAAACAGGUUAAUAUUCCUGUACUUGGUGUUACUGCGAAGGGGGGACGGAGAAGGCUAUGUUGGCCGGGCGACGGUUGUCCCGGUUUAAGCGUGUAGGCUGGUUUUCCAGGCAAAUCCGGAAAAUCAAGGCUGAGGCGUGAUGACGAGGCACUACGGUGCUGAAGCAACAAAUGCCCUGCUUCCAGGAAAAGCCUCUAAGCAUCAGGUAACAUCAAAUCGUACCCCAAACCGACACAGGUGGUCAGGUAGAGAAUACCAAGGCGCUUGAGAGAACUCGGGUGAAGGAACUAGGCAAAAUGGUGCCGUAACUUCGGGAGAAGGCACGC